ACUACGGGUGGCAGCAGUGAGGAAUAUUGGUCAAUGGCCGAGAGGCUGAACCAGCCAAGUCGCGUGAGGGAAGACGGCCCUACAGGUUGUAAAACUCUUUUGUCGGGGAGCAAAGCGAGUCACGUGUGACUCCUUGAGAGUACCCGAAGAAAAAGCAUCGGAUAAAUCCGUGCCAGCAGCCGCGGUAAUACGGGGGGUGCGAGCGUUAUCCGGAUUUAUUGGGUUUAAAGGGUUUGCAGGCGGGGGGGCAAGUCAGCGGUCAAAUUGCUGGGCUCAACCCCGUACUGCCGUUGACAUUGCAGCCCUUGAGUGCGCGAGAAGUAUGCGGAAUGCGUGGUGUAGCGGUGAAAUGCAUAGAUAUCACGCAGAACUCCGAUUGCGAAGGCAGCAUACCGGCGCGCAACUGACGCUCAUGCACGAAAGCGUGGGUAUCGAACAGGAUUAGAUACCCCAGUAGUC
RNAcentral lists this ribosomal RNA (459 nucleotides) under uncultured bacterium. Its description in RNAcentral is "partial 16S ribosomal RNA". It matches the Rfam family "Bacterial small subunit ribosomal RNA", at positions 338 to 795 of the family's 1533-position model. The record is from RNAcentral.